UUAACCCACCUCCCUGAUGAGCUGCUUGUUGGUCUCAGGCAUACACGGUCAUCGUUGGUAUCUAAGUUGCCACCUGACAAAUCUGUUCUUAUUUCUUAUUAGGUACCUGAAAGGCUGAACCUGAUCUUUGAUGAACUAGAAGGCCAAGAUACCAAGGACUCGAGUGGGCGACUCCAAGAAUGGUGACCACAUUGCUGCCCUAAGCGAUGAACAGGGCAGGGCGUGUGGUAUUGCAGUUAACUAUGUGUCAUCUGGUCAUCAUAGUGAUUGGUAGAUUAAAACCGUUAGCCACCUCUGAAUUCAUAUCGAAGUCAUGCGAGCUGGUCUUUUUCUGCUUGGAUCUCCAGGGGCCUGAUCAAUUGAACAAGUAUAUUGGGGAGAGCGAAUCAGAAGUAAGGAAAAUAUGAACCCGUGCAAGCACUAACUCACCAUACAUCCUAUUUUUUUGAGGUAAAACUAAGUAGUUGUGGC
Aegilops tauschii subsp. strangulata is the source of this 471-nucleotide non-coding RNA. NCBI's taxonomy places the organism in Eukaryota, Viridiplantae, Streptophyta, Magnoliopsida, Poales, Poaceae. The record is from RefSeq and is a predicted model, not a curated record.